This 338-nucleotide ribosomal RNA is filed under the name Staphylococcus aureus. Its description in RNAcentral is "bacterial SSU rRNA". It matches the Rfam family "Bacterial small subunit ribosomal RNA", at positions 1 to 327 of the family's 1533-position model. The record is from RNAcentral. Lineage: Bacteria; Bacillati; Bacillota; Bacilli; Caryophanales; Staphylococcaceae.
UUUUAUGGAGAGUUUGAUCCUGGCUCAGGAUGAACGCUGGCGGCGUGCCUAAUACAUGCAAGUCGAGCGAACGGACGAGAAGCUUGCUUCUCUGAUGUUAGCGGCGGACGGGUGAGUAACACGUGGAUAACCUACCUAUAAGACUGGGAUAACUUCGGGAAACCGGAGCUAAUACCGGAUAAUAUUUUGAACCGCAUGGUUCAAAAGUAAAAGACGGUCUUGCUGUCACUUAUAGAUGGAUCCGCGCUGCAUUAGCUAGUUGGUAAGGUAACGGCUUACCAAGGCAACGAUGCAUAGCCGACCUGAGAGGGUGAUCGGCCACACUGGAACUGAGACAC